RNAcentral lists this ribosomal RNA (303 nucleotides) under Triticum aestivum (bread wheat). Its description in RNAcentral is "partial small subunit ribosomal RNA". Lineage: Eukaryota; Viridiplantae; Streptophyta; Magnoliopsida; Poales; Poaceae. The record is from RNAcentral.
AUGUCGCUACGUCAGCUACUGGGAUGGUCAGAUGGAGAGGUGAUGCGGCCGGAGUCAAAGCCGUGUUCCCGACUGAUGCGCCACACUGCUGGUAUCUUCUCAGUUGGUGGUGGCCUUGCUUUCUGGGUGCUUUGCCGCCUUCACUAUGGUCCAAGGAUAACGGUUCCAAGGAGUCUCAGGUGGGCAUCCUGUGGAGCGAUGGGCACGAGCGCGACGGCAGCCAUGCUUGUGCGGCUCUUCAGCCCGGAGUGUGAACCACAGAACAUAGCAGCUUUCGACAGACCUGAAUACAAGCCUGCAUAG